AUUGAACGCUGGCGGCAGGCCUAACACAUGCAAGUCGAGCGGAUGAAGGGAGCUUGCUCCUGGAUUCAGCGGCGGACGGGUGAGUAAUGCCUAGGAAUCUGCCUGGUAGUGGGGGAGAACGUUUCGAAAGGAACGCUAAUACCGCAUACGUCCUAUGGGAGAAAGCAGGGGACCUUCGGGCCUUGCGCUAUCAGAUGAGCCUAGGUCGGAUUAGCUAGUUGGUGAGGUAAAGGCUCACCAAGGCGACGAUCCGUAACUGGUCUGAGAGGAUGAUCAGUCACACUGGAACUGAGACACGGUCCAGACUCCUACGGGAGGCAGCAGUGGGGAAUAUUGGACAAUGGGCGAAAGCCUGAUCCAGCCAUGCCGCGUGUGUGAAGAAGGUCUUCGGAUUGUAAAGCACUUUAAGUUGGGAGGAAGGGUUGUAGAUUAAUACUCUGCAAUUUUGACGUUACCGACAGAAUAAGCACCGGCUAACUCUGUGCCAGCCGCCGCAGUAA
Molecule: ribosomal RNA, 500 nt
Filed under: uncultured bacterium
Lineage: Bacteria
Description: partial 16S ribosomal RNA
Rfam family: Bacterial small subunit ribosomal RNA
Source: RNAcentral